Molecule: ribosomal RNA, 1509 nt
Filed under: Lactiplantibacillus plantarum
Lineage: Bacteria; Bacillati; Bacillota; Bacilli; Lactobacillales; Lactobacillaceae
Description: Lactobacillus plantarum 16S ribosomal RNA
Rfam family: Bacterial small subunit ribosomal RNA
Source: RNAcentral
ACGAACGCUGGCGGCGUGCCUAAUACAUGCAAGUCGAACGAACUCUGGUAUUGAUUGGUGCUUGCAUCAUGAUUUACAUUUGAGUGAGUGGCGAACUGGUGAGUAACACGUGGGAAACCUGCCCAGAAGCGGGGGAUAACACCUGGAAACAGAUGCUAAUACCGCAUAACAACUUGGACCGCAUGGUCCGAGCUUGAAAGAUGGCUUCGGCUAUCACUUUUGGAUGGUCCCGCGGCGUAUUAGCUAGAUGGUGGGGUAACGGCUCACCAUGGCAAUGAUACGUAGCCGACCUGAGAGGGUAAUCGGCCACAUUGGGACUGAGACACGGCCCAAACUCCUACGGGAGGCAGCAGUAGGGAAUCUUCCACAAUGGACGAAAGUCUGAUGGAGCAACGCCGCGUGAGUGAAGAAGGGUUUCGGCUCGUAAAACUCUGUUGUUAAAGAAGAACAUAUCUGAGAGUAACUGUUCAGGUAUUGACGGUAUUUAACCAGAAAGCCACGGCUAACUACGUGCCAGCAGCCGCGGUAAUACGUAGGUGGCAAGCGUUGUCCGGAUUUAUUGGGCGUAAAGCGAGCGCAGGCGGUUUUUUAAGUCUGAUGUGAAAGCCUUCGGCUCAACCGAAGAAGUGCAUCGGAAACUGGGAAACUUGAGUGCAGAAGAGGACAGUGGAACUCCAUGUGUAGCGGUGAAAUGCGUAGAUAUAUGGAAGAACACCAGUGGCGAAGGCGGCUGUCUGGUCUGUAACUGACGCUGAGGCUCGAAAGUAUGGGUAGCAAACAGGAUUAGAUACCCUGGUAGUCCAUACCGUAAACGAUGAAUGCUAAGUGUUGGAGGGUUUCCGCCCUUCAGUGCUGCAGCUAACGCAUUAAGCAUUCCGCCUGGGGAGUACGGCCGCAAGGCUGAAACUCAAAGGAAUUGACGGGGGCCCGCACAAGCGGUGGAGCAUGUGGUUUAAUUCGAAGCUACGCGAAGAACCUUACCAGGUCUUGACAUACUAUGCAAAUCUAAGAGAUUAGACGUUCCCUUCGGGGACAUGGAUACAGGUGGUGCAUGGUUGUCGUCAGCUCGUGUCGUGAGAUGUUGGGUUAAGUCCCGCAACGAGCGCAACCCUUAUUAUCAGUUGCCAGCAUUAAGUUGGGCACUCUGGUGAGACUGCCGGUGACAAACCGGAGGAAGGUGGGGAUGACGUCAAAUCAUCAUGCCCCUUAUGACCUGGGCUACACACGUGCUACAAUGGAUGGUACAACGAGUUGCGAACUCGCGAGAGUAAGCUAAUCUCUUAAAGCCAUUCUCAGUUCGGAUUGUAGGCUGCAACUCGCCUACAUGAAGUCGGAAUCGCUAGUAAUCGCGGAUCAGCAUGCCGCGGUGAAUACGUUCCCGGGCCUUGUACACACCGCCCGUCACACCAUGAGAGUUUGUAACACCCAAAGUCGGUGGGGUAACCUUUUAGGAACCAGCCGCCUAAGGUGGGACAGAUGAUUAGGGUGAAGUCGUAACAAGGUAGCCGU